GAUGAACGCUGGCGGUAUGCCUAACACAUGCAAGUCGAACGGACUCUUCGGAGUUAGUGGCGGACGGGUGAGUAACGCGUGAGAAUCUGGCUUUGGGUUCGGGACAACCACUGGAAACGGUGGCUAAUACCGGAUGUGCCGAGAGGUAAAAGAGAAGUUGCCUGAAGAUGAGCUCGCGUCUGAUUAGCUAGUUGGUGAGGUAAAGGCUCACCAAGGCAGCGAUCAGUAGCUGGUCUGAGAGGAUGACCAGCCACACUGGGACUGGGACACGGCCCAGACUCCUACGGGAGGCAGCAGUGGGGAAUUUUCCGCAAUGGGCGAAAGCCUGACGGAGCAAUACCGCGUGAGGGAAGAAGGCUCUUGGGUUGUAAACCUCUUUUCUUAGGGAAGAACAAAAUGACGGUACCUAAGGAAUCAGCAUCGGCUAACUCCGUG
This 435-nucleotide ribosomal RNA is filed under the name uncultured bacterium. RNAcentral describes it as "partial 16S ribosomal RNA". It matches the Rfam family "Bacterial small subunit ribosomal RNA", at positions 28 to 507 of the family's 1533-position model. The record is from RNAcentral.